AGUGGCGGACGGGUGAGUAACGCGUGAGAAUCUGCCUUGGGGUCGGGGACAACCACUGGAAACGGUGGCUAAUACCGGAUAAGCCGAUUGGUGAAAGAUUUAUUGCCCGAAGAGGAGCUCGCGUCUGAUUAGCUAGUUGGUGAGGUAAGAGCUCACCAAGGCAGCGAUCAGUAGCUGGUCUGAGAGGACGAUCAGCCACACUGGGACUGAGAUACGGCCCAGACUCCUACGGGAGGCAGCAGUGGGGAAUUUUCCGCAAUGGGCGAAAGCCUGACGGAGCAAGACCGCGUGAGGGAGGAAGGCUCUUGGGUUGUAAACCUCUUUUCUCAGGGAAGAAGCUCUGACGGUACCUGAGGAAUCAGCCUCGGCUAACUCCGUGCCAGCAGCCGCGGUAAUACGGAGGAGGCAAGCGUUAUCCGGAAUUAUUGGGCGUAAAGCGUCCGCAGGUGGCGAUUCAAGUCUGCUGUCAAAGCACGGGGCUUAACUCCGUAAAGGCAGUGGAAACUGAAUAGCUAGAGUGCCGUAGGGGUAGAGGGAAUUCCCGGUGUAGCGGUGAAAUGCGUAGAGAUCGGGAAGAACAUCGGUGGCGAAAGCGCUCUACUGGACGGCAACUGACACUCAGGGACGAAAGCUAGGGGAGCGAAUGGGAUUAGAUACCCC
This 660-nucleotide ribosomal RNA is filed under the name uncultured bacterium. RNAcentral's name for it is "bacterial SSU rRNA". It matches the Rfam family "Bacterial small subunit ribosomal RNA", at positions 94 to 788 of the family's 1533-position model. The record is from RNAcentral.